Long non-coding RNA from Dalotia coriaria, 210 nucleotides. RefSeq lists it as uncharacterized. NCBI's taxonomy places the organism in Eukaryota, Metazoa, Arthropoda, Insecta, Coleoptera, Staphylinidae. The transcript is spliced from 2 exons. The record is from RefSeq and is a predicted model, not a curated record.
GUUUUGCUGAUAAGGAGUAUCGUGCCCGGCGUAAACUCAUCGCUGAGGUUGCAUUUGCUUACAAAUAUGGUGACCCAAUCCCAAUUAUUCAGUACACUGAGACCGAGCAUAAGACAUGGACAGCGGUGUUCAACACCGUGCGUGAUUUGAUGCCGAAGCACGCGUGCGCUGAAUACCGCCGCGUCUUCCGCAUGCUGGAGGAAGAGGGCA